AUGCAAUGGCACAAGUCGGAAUUAAAAUAAAGUCUCUAUAAACACGGUGAUGAAACAAUGGAGGUGCGCGACCAGAACAAUCUGAGGCAACCAGAAACACACUCUGGAAAGGCGGGUUGUGGAUGUUUUCUUACCAGAGCUGCCAUCUUUUACCAGAGUGAAUGUCUCAUUCCAAGAGGAAGACAAAUGCCAGGAAUUUCCAGCCCCUUGCUGAAGAGGGGGAGGGAGUCGUCACUGGCCUCCUCAAUAACACCACUCCACAGCCUUCCUUCCACUGUGGUCAUGAGACCCCUCUCAUGGGCUCAGGAGAUCAAUGCCUCUGAUAACUGGGGACAUCCUGUAGUUACCUUGUUCCUAGGAGCGCUGCCAGUUGCCACUCUGAGGAAUUACACUUGUGCUGGGGGGGGUGGGGGUCUGACUUCCCAGGCAGGUGGAAUUAGCAAAGGUGAAUUUCAGAAGAGAGAAAGCCACAUGCGUUUAAUUAAGGGAGCAACAACUCAUCAGGGUCACUGUCAACAGUCCACACACAGCCUGACCUUGAGCUGAGGAAAGCGAUUUAAGUUCCAGGCAUUUUUUGGCAGAAGGCUUGUUUAUUCUUUCCUUUUCUCUCUGCAGAAAAUGGCUCUGGGCACCUCCCCACUCUGCUUCCCCAAAGGCCUGGUGGCCUUGCUUGCUUCAUGUACACAGGUAGUUAUUUCUCUAAUAAGAUGAAGAGAGGCUGAUUAUUUUUUCAGUUUACCUUGUGGGGCCAGGAUAAUGUGAAGAGAAAAGGAAAGGAAAGAAGGAGAAAUGAUGAGUAAGCUUAAGUGAGAUGCAGAGCCUUGUACUAUGUGUUCUGAGGCUGCUUCUAAUAGGAUAAAAUCAGAAUUGGGCGAAACAUCUACUGGGGGACACAGAGAAGUAAAUAUAGUGACACCCUCUAACCUAUACCUCAUCUGGACAAUCCUUUGUUACAACAAAUGCAGUUAUAUACUCGUAAUUAAAAAAUAAAUUAAUUAAAUCUUUACGGGUUCA
RNAcentral lists this long non-coding RNA (1014 nucleotides) under Ursus maritimus (polar bear). RNAcentral's name for it is "lncRNA (ENSUMAG00000014586.1)". The record is from RNAcentral. Lineage: Eukaryota; Metazoa; Chordata; Mammalia; Carnivora; Ursidae.